RNAcentral lists this small RNA (636 nucleotides) under Pongo abelii (Sumatran orangutan). Its description in RNAcentral is "retained intron". The record is from RNAcentral. Lineage: Eukaryota; Metazoa; Chordata; Mammalia; Primates; Hominidae.
GGUUUCAUUUUACGGAUGAAGAGACUGAAGCUCAGAGGGAUCCAAUAACUUGCUCAAGGCGUCAUAGUAAGAGGCAGAGCUAGGAUCCAAAUCUAGGAAUUCUAGGAGCUCGCUUUUUGGAAGGGGCAGUUGACAGUUAUAAUUAUGCGUGUAAUUACCCUAUAGGGAGUGCCAGAUCCGCUUUGGAGGGAGAAAGGAGAUUGCCUCGGAUUCCGACAGCAGGGUCACCUGUCUGUGUGCCCAGUUUGAAGCCGUCCUGCAGCAUGGCUUGAAGAGGAGUCGAGGAUUGGCACUCACAGCGGCAGCGAUCAAGCAGGCAGCGGGCUUUGCCAGCAAAACCGAAACAGGUACUGCUCUGCCUGGCUGUAGCUUGCAGGAGCUUGUCUUCCUUCUGCUCUUUUUCUUUUUAUUUAUUUUUUAAUAGUGGGCAGGGCAGUCAUCGCGUGGGACUUGGUGGGGUGGUGUAUGGGCACAGAAAUCCAUGUCUUAAUAGUAGUCAAAACGUAAUGGUGUUGUCUGGCAUCUUAAUUUAAAUGAAGUCAUCUUUUGUGCAGAAUUCUCAGAGCCACAUGGUACAAUCUCCUCUGGGUUCGGGGACCUGCAGCACACUGGUUUAUUUCACCAGUGUGGUGUGCC